GCCUUUUCAACAGGAAAGGUGGAUUGCCGUCCGGGAAGGCACGCCUGCGAACUGCAAAUCGCUUCCGGCUUACAGCGCAACAGCCACGACAGAAACAGAAAUGCCAACAACAUGUGACCUGACCACUAGGCGAGCAGUACAUGGAUCCGUGGCGAAUGACACCGGUGUGAGUCAUAAAGACGCGCACCGCAGACGAAUAUGCCGACCAGAUAUCCCGGCAGGGACUCCAGUUGGCAAUGGCCGAAAGUGAUAUAUGUCGAUCAUCACCAACAGCCAUCAAUCAGUCAGUCACCCCUGGAUCGGAUCCGAUCAGCGAGAAAUGGAUACUACUCGUACAUCGGUACAUGAUUGCAUUAUUGCCGAUGGACGCUAUCAGAGUCGGGACAUAAAGCUAGCAGGUGUUCCUGGUAAGUGGUAAUCACUAAUCAGUGGCCUCCUCCUAUCCGUAUCCAUUCAUCCAUCUUUCUGCCAUCUCUGCUCUGCUGCUGCUGUAUGAUGCCGAUCAGCAGAUGCGUCGCCCGGCCAUGAUGAUCCAGUGGCAACUUGUCCUCAUCUGCCCCAUGAUUGGAAGAAAGCUUUGUUCUAGCUUAUGUUAAACAGAAUGGACGCAUGCAUGCACCGGAGAGAGCAGAGGUCGAUCGAUAGAUCUGGAGCAGUGUCACCAGGAAUGUAAAAAGGCUGGUUAAAUUAUUAUUUUUGUAGUAAGAUCCAACAGCCUGAAAAAUGAAAAGUCAUCAACAGGUCUGUGUACAUGACAAACAACUUUCGGUGACACAACCAUGUCGGUGCACGCGGGAUGCAGUGGAAGCAUGAAAUCUAGAUUCAAUAAAUUGGCCAGCUGGAAUUCCAAACGACAUAUCUUAUCAUGCAACUUGCAGGAUAGGACGAUCCAGAUCGAUGGUGGAUGAGUCCAGUCCACUAGCGAAGAAUGAGCCAAGCAAGUGAGUGUGGUUCUACCAACCAGACCAGGAGAGGACCAGGACCAGCCCCACCAUGCAUGCAGGUGCAGCAGAUAGCUAGAGUAGCUCUGCUUUCUCCCCCAGGCGGCGCCGGAAAUUAAUUCCUCGGCUUUCUGACGUUGCAUCCGUCAUUAAAAAAAACUUUCAUUCUAUUCGUCUUAAAUCAUGGCAGUACAAUUGUCUGUGGUUUUCAGGUCACGGAUCAUGGAUGGAGUUGGACCCUGGCCAGACAAUCCUAAUUGCCCCUUCAGCAUCUGAAAUGUUCAUAGUGAUCUUUUUGGUUUGUUUUCAAGCAAAAGUUUAGCUCCCUUAAAAAAGAAAUGAAGAAGCAAAGUGCACCAGCUCAUGAACCAAAGCGGUUUUGCAUCCAUGUCUAUGUGCUCAUCAGUGGAGUGUACGUACGACUUCUGGAUUCCUAUAUUGGAAUUAGUGGUCCUAGCCUCAGGCUCUAGAAUCUUCCGUGUGCAUGUCUAUACGCCUAGCAGCGGACACCUUUGCUUGCAGUUGCAGCCUACGGGGGCGGCGCACCGAGGUCCGAGGGCUUUGUAUGUGAGCUGGAAACCAACGGCAGCACGGCGCCGCUUGGCAUCUAAUGUCCGUACUCGCGAUUCUCACCUUUAUAUAUCUAUUCUGGAACAAGUUGGGUCGAAAUAUCCAAAAUAUAUGUAGUGUUCUGGCCGUCAUCGAAUGUACUCCCCCGUCCUAUAAUGUGACAUUGUAGUGUCAAGAAACGUUUUACUAGUGUCAAGAAACGUCUUACAUUAUGAGAUGAAGGGAGUGCUUGUUUGUUUCUUGCUCGUGAUGCAUGGAGCAGAGAUGUAUGGUUUUGUGUUGUAUGAUUUGCUUCGAUCGGGAUGUUCACGCAUGUCUAAUCUAAUCAUUUAGGCCCCGCAAAGAGAAUGUCUAAUCAUUUAGGUUGCGUUUGAGAAUCAAGUCGCCGGCAGGCAACGUGCACUCGUGCUCUCCUCGAUCGGCCAUCAGACGGGCUCCGGUCUCGAGAACUAUGUGAUUUUUAGUGUCAAAAAAGAGCUUGAGAAGUAUGUGAAAAUUUGCCAAUUCUAGAUUGAAUGGCAUUCGAUUUGUGCGAACUACCAUUGCCUUGGACUCUUAAGAAAAACAUCACACCGUGCGCAUGCAUGUACUGUA
Aegilops tauschii subsp. strangulata is the source of this 2105-nucleotide long non-coding RNA. RefSeq lists it as uncharacterized. The record is from RefSeq and is a predicted model, not a curated record. Lineage: Eukaryota; Viridiplantae; Streptophyta; Magnoliopsida; Poales; Poaceae.